GAUGAACGCUGGCGGCGUGCCUAAUACAUGCAAGUCGAGCGAACAGACGAGGAGCUUGCUCCUCUGACGUUAGCGGCGGACGUGUGAGUAACACGUGGAUAACCUACCUAUAAUACUGGGAUAACUUCGGGAAACCGGAGCUAAUACCGGAUAAUAUAUUGAACCGCAUGGUUCAAUAGUGAAAGACGGUUUUGCUGUCUCUUAUAGAUGGAUCCGCGCCGCAUUAGGUAGUUGGUAAGGAAACGGCUUACCAAGGCAACGAUGCGUAGCCGACCUGAGAGGGUGAUCGGCCACACUGGAACUGAGACACGGUCCAGACUACUACGGGAGGCAGCAGUAGGGAAUCUUCCGCAAUGGGCGAAAGCCUGACGGAGCAACGCCGCGUGAGUGAUGAAGGUCUUCGGAUCGUAAAACUCUGUUAUUAGGGAAGAACAAAUGUGUAAGUAACUAUGCACGUCUUGACGGUACCUAAUCAGAAAGCCACGGCUAACUACGUG
This 497-nucleotide ribosomal RNA is filed under the name uncultured bacterium. RNAcentral describes it as "partial 16S ribosomal RNA". It matches the Rfam family "Bacterial small subunit ribosomal RNA", at positions 28 to 507 of the family's 1533-position model. The record is from RNAcentral.